CCGUGCUAGACGGGGAGGUAGCGGUGCCCUGUACUCGCAAUCCGCUAUAGCGAGGUCGAAUUCCUUCCCCCGGUUUUAGCAUCGUAGGGUCUGACCUAAGUAAGUGGUGUUGACAUCUGGGUUCCACGCAACGGAAAUCCGUGAAUCGUGUCAGGUCCGGAAGGAAGCAGCACUAAGCGGUACCUUCUGUGUGCCGUGGAGUCGCCUGGAUCGAGCUAACUGCUUAGGUAACGCCUGGGGUGUUAAUCCCAAAGGAAGGUGCACGG
RNAcentral lists this signal recognition particle RNA (266 nucleotides) under Alteribacter keqinensis. RNAcentral's name for it is "Bacterial large signal recognition particle RNA". It matches the Rfam family "Bacterial large signal recognition particle RNA". Rfam says of the family: The signal recognition particle (SRP) is a universally conserved ribonucleoprotein involved in the co-translational targeting of proteins to membranes. Archaeal SRP consists of a 7S RNA and homologues of the eukaryotic SRP19 and SRP54 proteins. Lineage: Bacteria; Bacillati; Bacillota; Bacilli; Caryophanales; Bacillaceae. The record is from Rfam by way of RNAcentral. RNAcentral also lists the same sequence under 1 other name.